GACGAACGCUGGCGGCGUGCUUAACACAUGCAAGUCGAACGGAAAGGCCCUGCUUUUGUGGGGUGCUCGAGUGGCGAACGGGUGAGUAACACGUGAGUAACCUGCCCUUGACUUUGGGAUAACUUCAGGAAACUGGGGCUAAUACCGGAUAGGAUCUCCUGCUGCAUGGUGGGGGUUGGAAAGUUUCGGCGGUUGGGGAUGGACUCGCGGGUUAUCAGCUUGUUUGUGGGGUAGUGGCUUACCAAGGCUUUGACGGGUAGCCUGCCUGAGAGGGUGACCGGCCACAUUGGGACUGAGAUACGGCCCAGAAUCCUACGGGAGGCAGCAGUGGGGAAUAUUGCACAAUGGGCGGAAGCCUGAUGCAGCAACGCCGCGUGCGGGAUGACGGCCUUCGGGUUGUAAACCGCUUUCGCCUGUGACGAGGCGGGAGUGACGGUAAUGGGUAAAGAAGCAACGGCUAACUACGUG
Molecule: ribosomal RNA, 468 nt
Filed under: uncultured bacterium
Lineage: Bacteria
Description: partial 16S ribosomal RNA
Rfam family: Bacterial small subunit ribosomal RNA
Source: RNAcentral